Molecule: ribosomal RNA, 172 nt
Filed under: uncultured bacterium
Lineage: Bacteria
Description: partial 16S ribosomal RNA
Rfam family: Bacterial small subunit ribosomal RNA
Source: RNAcentral
UGGGCAACCUGCCCCUAGCUCUGGGAUAACUGCGGGAAACUGUAGCUAAUACCGGAUGUGACACGAGACUGCAUGGUCUUCGUGUGGAAAGAUUUAUCGGCUAGGGAUGGGCCCGCGGUCUAUCAGCUUGUUGGUGGGGUAAUGGCUCACCAAGGCGACGACGGGUAGCCGG